UUUUCCUUUGUGCUGGCUUUGACCGUAUGUAAUUUUGGGACUUUAAAAUGGUUCGCAAGGGCCGGUCCCAAAAACAAUAUAUCAUCCUUAUGAAAUUUUUUCUGAACAAUUAAACAAAUGAUUUUAAUAAUCUGUUUAAAACAACUUUCAACAACGGAUCUCUUGGUUCUCGCAUCGAUGAAGAACGCAGCGAAAUGCGAUACGUAAUGUGAAUUGCAGAAUUCAGUGAAUCAUCGAAUCUUUGAACGCACAUUGCACUCCUUGGUAUUCCGAGGAGUAUGCCUGUUUCAGUAUCAUGAGCACUCUCACACCUAACCUUUGGGUUUAUGGCGUGGAAUUGGAAUGCGCCGACUGUCACGGUUGGCCCUUCUAAAAUGUAGUUCUUGGCUGUCACCUAAUACAGCAGUUUGGCCUAAUAGUUUUGGCAUUCAUUGUCAAAUCUUUGGCUAACAUUUGCUCCAGGAGUCAGUCUUGAUAAUACAGAAAACUCAUUCAAAUUUUGAUCUGAAAUCAGGUAGGGCUACCCGCUGAACUUAAGCAUAUCAAUAAG
RNAcentral lists this ribosomal RNA (550 nucleotides) under fungal sp. TZ-2013. RNAcentral describes it as "eukaryotic LSU rRNA". The stretch from base 143 to 296 matches the Rfam family "5.8S ribosomal RNA". The record is from RNAcentral. Lineage: Eukaryota; Fungi.